Molecule: ribosomal RNA, 683 nt
Filed under: Metarhizium anisopliae
Lineage: Eukaryota; Fungi; Ascomycota; Sordariomycetes; Hypocreales; Clavicipitaceae
Description: eukaryotic LSU rRNA
Rfam family: 5.8S ribosomal RNA (bases 276-429)
Source: RNAcentral
UGGCUCAGUGAGGCGUCCGGACUGGCCCAGGGAGGUGGGCAACUACCACCCAGGGCCGGAAAGCUCUCCAAACUCGGUCAUUUAGAGGAAGUAAAAGUCGUAACAAGGUCUCCGUUGGUGAACCAGCGGAGGGAUCAUUACCGAGUUAUCCAACUCCCAACCCCUGUGAAUUAUACCUUUAAUUGUUGCUUCGGCGGGACUUCGCGCCCGCCGGGGACCCAAACCUUCUGAAUUUUUUAAUAAGUAUCUUCUGAGUGGUUAAAAAAAUGAAUCAAAACUUUCAACAACGGAUCUCUUGGUUCUGGCAUCGAUGAAGAACGCAGCGAAAUGCGAUAAGUAAUGUGAAUUGCAGAAUUCAGUGAAUCAUCGAAUCUUUGAACGCACAUUGCGCCCGUCAGUAUUCUGGCGGGCAUGCCUGUUCGAGCGUCAUUACGCCCCUCAAGUCCCCUGUGGACUUGGUGUUGGGGAUCGGCGAGGCUGGUUUUCCAGCACAGCCGUCCCUCAAAUCAAUUGGCGGUCUCGCCGUGGCCCUCCUCUGCGCAGUAGUAAAACACUCGCAACAGGAGCCCGGCGCGGUCCACUGCCGUAAAACCCCCCAACUUUUUAUAGUUGACCUCGAAUCAGGUAGGACUACCCGCUGAACUUAAGCAUAUCAAUAAGCGGAGGAAAAGAAACCAACAGGG